RNAcentral lists this ribosomal RNA (254 nucleotides) under uncultured prokaryote. Its description in RNAcentral is "partial 16S ribosomal RNA". It matches the Rfam family "Bacterial small subunit ribosomal RNA", at positions 524 to 776 of the family's 1533-position model. The record is from RNAcentral.
UACGUAGGUGGCAAGCGUUGUCCGGCUUUCUUGUUUUUAAAGGGCGCGUAGGCGGCCGAGCGGGUCGUGGGUGAAAUCCUCCAGCUUAACUGGAGAACUGCUUACGAUACCACUGCGGCUCGAGGAAGGAAGGGGCAAUCGGAACUGUCGGUGGAGCGGUGAAAUGCGUUGAUAUCGACAGGAACGCCGGUGGCGAAAGCGGAUUGCUGGUCCUUUUCUGACGCUGAGGCGCGAAAGCCAGGGGAGCAAACGGG